RNAcentral lists this ribosomal RNA (442 nucleotides) under uncultured bacterium. Its description in RNAcentral is "partial 16S ribosomal RNA". It matches the Rfam family "Bacterial small subunit ribosomal RNA", at positions 338 to 795 of the family's 1533-position model. The record is from RNAcentral.
CCUACGGGAGACAGCAGUAGGGAAUCUUUCACAAUGGGCGAAAGCCUGAAGGAGCAACGCCGCGUGCAGGAUGAAGGCCUUCGGGUUGUAAACUGCUUUUAUAAGCGAGAAAUAUGAUGGUAACUUAUGAAUAAGGAUCGGCUAACUACGUGCCAGCAGCCGCGGUCAUACGUAGGAUCCGAGCAUUAUCCGGAGUGACUGGGUGUAAAGAGUGGCGUAGGUGGCAUAAUAAGUAGCUAGUGAAAUCUGGUUGUUCAACCAUUCAGACUAUUAGCUAAACUGUUAAGCUCGAGACCGUUAGGGGUAACUGGAAUGUCUGGUGUAGGAGUGAAAUCCGUAGAUAUUAGAAAGAACACCGAUAGCGUAGGCAGGUUACUGAGACGGUUCUGACGCUAAGGCACGAAAGCGUAGGGAGCAAACGGGAUUAGAUACCCUGGUAGUC